This 641-nucleotide ribosomal RNA is filed under the name Delphinium macropetalum. RNAcentral describes it as "eukaryotic LSU rRNA". The stretch from base 266 to 421 matches the Rfam family "5.8S ribosomal RNA". The record is from RNAcentral. Lineage: Eukaryota; Viridiplantae; Streptophyta; Magnoliopsida; Ranunculales; Ranunculaceae.
AAGGAUCAUUGUCAAAACAUGCCCACCAAAGCGACAUGCGAACNAAUGAAAACAUGCACGUGCGGUUCAAGGAUGGGCGCGCCCCUGAUCGUCCGUCCAUCGGACCAUGGUCCCCCGCCGUGGUCGCGCCGAAAGGGCGAACCGCAGGGCGGGCCAGUGUGUCAGAACUAACCAAAAACUGGCGCUAUAGGCGCCAAGGAAAUCUUAGCAGAAACAGGUGGUCACACCGUUCGUGGUUGCGGCCUUCAGGAUCCGAUACUCGAAUGACUCUCGGCAUCGGAUAUAUCGGCUCUUGCAUCGAUGAAGAACGUAGCGAAAUGCGAUACUUGGUGUGAAUUGCAUAAUCCAGUGAACUAUCGAGUCCUUGAAUUCAAGUUGCGCUCGAGGCCACUAAGUCGAGGGCACGUCUGCCUGGGCGUCACACACAGUGUCGCACCCCGACAACCAUAUUACAGGGGAGCGAAAAUUGCCCCCGGGACUUUUAGCGCAUGGUCGGCAAAAAUGUUGGUCCCCGACGGCGAGCGUCGCGGUCAGCAGACGCGAUGCUCCGCUACAUGACGAGACAAACGACCCCACGGAACCGCCUCACGCGGCAUCCACCCCGCGACCCCAGGUUAGGCGGGACUACCUGGUGAGUUUAA